GUCUGAUCUUCCAGAGGGAUGAGUCAGCCACGCGCCGCCCUUCUCCAGCACCGCCCUCCUCUGUCUCUGGUUUUCCCACCCUCUCACUUGCCCUAGUCCCCACUCCGUACGACUCCCGCGCCCUCAAAGCAACCACGCUUUCAGGCCUCAGACGCCAUCACUACCCCUAGCGGCGAUACAGUGGGUAACAGGGCGGGCGAAGGAAAGGGGCGGGGGGCGGCGGGGCCGCGCAGGCGCAGUAUGCAGACUCGCAGGCCGUGGUCUCUUCCCUCCCCCCUCCCCCCCCCCGGAAAGGAGUGUGCACGCGCUUCGGGUGCGUGAAGGUGGAGGGUGAGAAGGCUAGCCCCCCUUGCGCUGGCCUCCGGCACGUUUCUAUCGGCUGUGGGGAAUUGGGAAGAAGAGCUUUGAGCCACUCGCUCUGCCAGGUAAUGUGGCUACGACACGGCCCGCUGUAGCGCCGGGCCUGAAUCUUAAAUCUGGGGUUAAUUCUGAACGAUGCUCCAGCUUGCGGCCCCCUUCGCCCGGCCCCGGCCGAACCACAGAGCCCUUUUCAGGCUUUGAGGGACUGAAGAGCUCAAGCGGCGCCCUUUGCCAAGUCCAUGCACACCACCGCUUCCGCCAGACACUCGGGUCUCUGAGGCACCUACUCUGAGAGCUCCAAAGGGAGGGUGAAGCCAGUUCUCCCCUUUUCCAAGAAGAGUCUGAGACUGAAACCUUGAUGCUGAGAACACCUUUCCCCUUUCUGAUGCAAGCAGCUUGCAGAUUGUUAAUGCCGGAGCCUGAGGCAAGAAUGUCACAGACCUUUCCCAGGUGUUUGUUAAGUACCAGUUUAAGAUGGCAAGACCAACACUGUUGAUUCUGGGGCCAGAACUGGGACAAGUCCUUGAUCUGUCUACACUAGCUGUAUACACCAUCUACCUCCUGAGAGGAUUCAUUUUUCUUCCUAUGCUUGUUGCUGCAUCAGAAUGGAGCAUGUACUUUCCCACCAGCCAGGAUAUCCUGCCCCACCCCCCACCAUGUUGCUGGCUCCUGACCAUUCAAAUUCAGCUCGAAUGCACCUUAAGAGAGAGGCCUUUCCUAAAUAGUCAAUGUGAAGUAGUCACCACUCCCCCAAGCCCUUCUCGGUCACUUCAUCCUUGCCUUAUUUUCUCCAUUGUACUGAACAAUCUGAAGUUACCUUAUAUAGCUAUUUACUUCUUUGCUAAUUGAGAGAUUCACCCACUAGAAGGUGCAGGCAUACCUGGAAAUAUUGUAGGUUUAGCUCCAGACUUCUGCAAUAAAGUAAACUACACAGA
Molecule: long non-coding RNA, 1295 nt
Organism: Phacochoerus africanus (Common warthog)
Lineage: Eukaryota; Metazoa; Chordata; Mammalia; Artiodactyla; Suidae
Exons: 3
Source: RefSeq, a predicted model, not a curated record